AAAGAGCUCGUAGGUGGUUUGUCGCGUUGUUCGUGAAAUCUCACGGCUUAACUGUGAGCGUGCGGGCGAUACGGGCAGACUUGAGUACUGCAGGGGAGACUGGAAUUCCUGGUGUAGCGGUGGAAUGCGCAGAUAUCAGGAGGAACACCGGUGGCGAAGGCGGGUCUCUGGGCAGUAACUGACGCUGAGGAGCGAAAGCGUGGGGAGCGAACAGGAUUAGAUACCCUGGUAGUCCACGCCGUAAACGGUGGGUACUAGGUGUGGGUUUCCUUCCUUGGGAUCCGUGCCGUAGCUAACGCAUUAAGUACCCCGCCUGGGGAGUACGGCCGCAAGGCUAAAACUCAAAGAAAUUGACGGGGGCCCGCACAAGCGGCGGAGCAUGUGGAUUAAUUCGAUGCAACGCGAAGAACCUUACCUGGGUUUGACAUGCACAGGACGCCGGCAGAGAUGUCGGUUCCCUUGUGGCCUGUGUGCAGGUGGUGCAUGGCUGUCGUCAGCUCGUGUCGUGAGAUGUUGGGUUAAGUCCCGCAACGAGCGCAACCCUUGUCUCAUGUUGCCAGCGGGUAAUGCCGGGGACUCGUGAGAGACUGCCGGGGUCAACUCGGAGGAAGGUGGGGAUGACGUCAAGUCAUCAUGCCCCUUAUGUCCAGGGCUUCACACAUGCUACAAUGGCCGGUACAAAGGGCUGCGAUGCCGCGAGGUUAAGCGAAUCCUUUUAAAGCCGGUCUCAGUUCGGAUCGGGGUCUGCAACUCGACCCCGUGAAGUCGGAGUCGCUAGUAAUCGCAGAUC
RNAcentral lists this ribosomal RNA (790 nucleotides) under uncultured Mycobacterium sp. RNAcentral's name for it is "bacterial SSU rRNA". It matches the Rfam family "Bacterial small subunit ribosomal RNA", at positions 562 to 1350 of the family's 1533-position model. The record is from RNAcentral. Lineage: Bacteria; Bacillati; Actinomycetota; Actinomycetes; Mycobacteriales; Mycobacteriaceae.